UAACUCUGAACUUUUUUAGUUUACGCAUAAGUUUUUUGCCUUUUAGUAAAGACUUCCUUGGAGAAGGCCAAUUCGAUGAGUAUAUAGAUGAUUUUUCUGCUGUCUCUCUAACAU
Hydractinia symbiolongicarpus is the source of this 114-nucleotide small nuclear RNA. RefSeq annotates it as U5 spliceosomal RNA. The record is from RefSeq and is a predicted model, not a curated record. NCBI's taxonomy places the organism in Eukaryota, Metazoa, Cnidaria, Hydrozoa, Anthoathecata, Hydractiniidae. The transcript has a single exon.